UAGGGAAUCUUCCACAAUGGACGCAAGUCUGAUGGAGCAACGCCGCGUGAGUGAAGAAGGUCUUCGGAUCGUAAAACUCUGUCGUUAGAGAAGAACACGAGUGAGAGUAACUGUUCAUUCGAUGACGGUAUCUAACCAGCAAGUCACGGCUAACUACGUGUCAG
This 164-nucleotide ribosomal RNA is filed under the name uncultured bacterium. RNAcentral's name for it is "partial 16S rRNA". It matches the Rfam family "Bacterial small subunit ribosomal RNA", at positions 355 to 511 of the family's 1533-position model. The record is from RNAcentral.